CUUCAUACAAUUUACAAGUAGUCUUUGGUUAAGGAUUUUGAUAGUAAUAACAUUAUAUAUAUUCAUAAAGAGGAGUUCUCUCAAGAAACACCAAUUUCCCAGUAGUGUCUAUUUUUACAUUCUCCUUUUAAAAGUAUCUAAUUUUUUAACUUGAGAAAUAGCAUAAUGCUUUUUGUCUCUGUGUGUGUAAACCUUACACUGGGUUGGAUUGAAUGAAUACUUAC
Molecule: long non-coding RNA, 224 nt
Filed under: Glycine max (soybean)
Lineage: Eukaryota; Viridiplantae; Streptophyta; Magnoliopsida; Fabales; Fabaceae
Description: long non-coding RNA (GMAX_LNC004747)
Source: RNAcentral